GCUGCCGACCGGCAGGGAGUUGAACCUUCAAAGUUCCACUAGGUGGCGAGGUUGAGUGACAGGCGACGCCUUGGUUCAGUAACAACUGGACUGCGGUGGCAGCAUUGUCGUUGUGAAAUGUGAGCCCGCGUCCUGCCUUCAGUCGAAUAAGGGCCUUAGAAAAAGAGUGGAACAGAAAUGAAUGUAGGAAGAGUGAGAGUGUCAUCGCGAAAAGGAUCCGCUGCCUGGAUCCUUUGUAUGCAGAAGUCAUAAUGGAGUACAAGCCGUCGGGAGCUCGGGAGGAUAUCGUCCACAACAGGAACAGUGUGGCACAAACAGGAAGUCCCACAUACUAACCUUCCUCUGCGGGUCGAGCUGACACAAAAGCACUGGUAAAUAAUUGCGUGUUUGUGAGGGAAAGAAUCUGACAGUUCGCAUCAGCACAAAGGGGCUUUAAACUGCCGAAACUCAAAUAUUGCUGCCAUUUGUAGUCCACUUCUAUUUUGAGUCCGUAAUCUACUUUGCAGUUGUACGGCUCAUAAUAACAAU
This is a long non-coding RNA of Gasterosteus aculeatus aculeatus (three-spined stickleback), 528 nucleotides long. The record is from Ensembl. Lineage: Eukaryota; Metazoa; Chordata; Actinopteri; Perciformes; Gasterosteidae.